Archocentrus centrarchus (flier cichlid) is the source of this 420-nucleotide long non-coding RNA. RefSeq lists it as uncharacterized. The record is from RefSeq and is a predicted model, not a curated record. Lineage: Eukaryota; Metazoa; Chordata; Actinopteri; Cichliformes; Cichlidae. The transcript has 3 exons.
GACAGAUCAGCAUCGGUGGAUGAUGAUGAUGCUGAAUGAGAGAUUGCAGUGCAGUACAGAAGAGAGAAAUACAGAGGAUUCGAUCUUUCCAAGAGACAAAAGACCCUGUUGAAUUCUGAGUGAGCAGCAUUUCAAUUCCACACGCCAUGGUGAACUGACUGCAGACAAACAUCCUGUCCCCCUGGGGUGAGGCAGAGGAGAGCCCGGAAGACCACAGCAGACCUUGUCUAUUUCCAUCCCCCUCUCACCCGGUCCCUUGCUGAUGACACAGGCGGCCCCCUGGUACCGUGGCUGACCCCUUCAGUCAACUCUCAUCACCCAGACUGACAGCUGUCAAUCAAAUGUCUGGGCUGCGUUGUGACACGAAGAGGCAUUGAUAGACAGUGGCUAUGUUUGUGAGUGUGUGUGUGUGUGUGUGUG